CGGGGCGUAGCUCAGUCUGGAUAGAGUGCAUGCUUUGGGAGCAUGAUGUCGUAGGUUCGAAUCCUAUCGCCCCGA
RNAcentral lists this transfer RNA (75 nucleotides) under Verrucomicrobia bacterium GWC2_42_7. RNAcentral describes it as "tRNA-Pro". It matches the Rfam family "tRNA". Rfam says of the family: Transfer RNA (tRNA) molecules are approximately 80 nucleotides in length. The record is from RNAcentral. Lineage: Bacteria; Pseudomonadati; Verrucomicrobiota.